CUCAGUAACGGCGAGUGAAGCGGUAACAGCUCAAAUUUGAAAUCUGGCCUCACGGUCCGAGUUGUAAUUUGUAGAGGAUGCUUCGAGCAUGGUCUGGCCUAAGUUCCUUGGAACAGGACGUCAUAGAGGGUGAGAAUCCCGUAUGCGGCCAGGUGCCUACGCUCAUGUGAAGCUCCUUCGACGAGUCGAGUUGUUUGGGAAUGCAGCUCAAAAUGGGUGGUAAAUUUCAUCUAAAGCUAAAUAUUGGCCAGAGACCGAUAGCGCACAAGUAGAGUGAUCGAAAGAUGAAAAGCACUUUGGAAAGAGAGUUAAACAGUACGUGAAAUUGUUGAAAGGGAAGCGCUUGCAACCAGACUUGCGCGCGGCCGAUCAUCCGGUGUUCUCACCGGUGCACUCGGCCGUGCUCAGGCCAGCAUCGGUUUUGGCGGCUGGAUAAAGGCCCUAGGAAUGUAGCUCCUCUCGGGGAGUGUUAUAGCCUAGGGUGCAAUGCAGCCUGCUGGGACCGAGGACCGCGCUUCGGCUAGGAUGCUGGCGUAAUGGUUGUAAGCGGCCCGUCUUGAAACACGGACCAAGGAGUCUAACAUCUAUGCGAGUGUUUGGGUGUCAAACCCAUACGCGUAAUGAAAGUGAACGGAGGUGAGAACCCUUAAGGGUGCAUCAUCGACCGGUCCUGAAGUUUACGGAAGGAUCUGAGUAAGAGCAUAGCUGUUGGGACCCGAAAGAUGGUGAACUAUGCCUGAAUAGGGUGAAGCCAGAGGAAACUCUGGUGGAGGCUCGCAGCGGUUCUGACGUGC
RNAcentral lists this ribosomal RNA (794 nucleotides) under Pseudogymnoascus sp. Its description in RNAcentral is "partial large subunit ribosomal RNA". It matches the Rfam family "Eukaryotic large subunit ribosomal RNA", at positions 79 to 894 of the family's 3401-position model. The record is from RNAcentral. Lineage: Eukaryota; Fungi; Ascomycota; Leotiomycetes; Thelebolales; Thelebolaceae.